UUUGUGGACCGCGUAAAAGCUUUGAAUCCACCUCUUAACGCUUGCACUACUCCAGAAAUGCGCAGAGCUAGACUUGGGGAUACCUUUCCGGCCAAAAAGCUGAAGGGUAACAUUGCUGCAAGUUUAAUACCAAAAACAGUACAGGAAACAGGACACCAGAACGGAAUGGGUUUGCAGAGGUUAAAUUUCGGAAAAAGCAAAAAAGUAGGAAAACACACGGACAGUCUUUCCACGCAUCAAAGAGCAGGCGCGCUAAGCAUGGACUUGUUGGUUGCCUUGCAGAUAUUACCGGGCUUUUUCUCCAACUGUCUGUUCCUGGCGCUCUAUGACUCGGUGGUCCUCCUGAAGCGUGUGAUGUCACUUCUCAUCUUCUCCAGAUCCGCAGCCUGUGGUGAGUGGCAGCGCAUGCUGACUUCAGCAGGUCUACGCUCGAUAUGGAACAGUUUCCUACUGGACGCCUAUAAGCAGGUGAAGCUUGGCGGUGAGGCUCCCAACUCCAAGGUGGUGAAGGUGCCCUCUGUCCGAGGCCGGAGACGGAGUCCCAGGAACAAGGCGGGCGAUGAGUGCCACCUGUUGGAUUUCGAGUCCUUCGACCGCCCCCUGGUGGUCAACUUCGGCUCGGCCACCUGACCCCCCUUCAUCAGCCAGCUUCCCGCCUUCCGUGGGCUGGUGGAGGACUUUGCGGACGUGGCUGACUUCCUGCUGGUGUACGUGGACGAGGCGCACCCUUCGGACGGCUGGGCGGGGCCGGUGGGCGGGCCACGCCUGUUUCAGGUGAGGCAGCACCGGAGCCUGGAGGAACGGGUGCUGGCGGCUCGGAGGCUGUUGGAACACUUCGCCAUUCCCCCGCCGUGCCAGCUGGUCACCGACUGCAUGGACAACAAUGCCAACGCAGCCUACGGCGUCUCCUUCGAGAGGGUCUGCAUCGUCCAGAAGAGGAGGGUCGCCUACCUGGGGGGGAAGGGCCCGUUCUUUUACAACCUGGGAGAUGUUCGGCAGUGGCUCGAGCAGAACUAUGGACCGAGGUAGAGCAGGGAGGAACAGGGAGGAAAAAAUAGUUGUCUUAUUCCACAGGCUGGGGGAGGGAGGAAUCUAUUUUAGGACCAUGGAAAUGGAUUGCUAAAGCAGGUAUGGCGUGAAACGUUUUGAAAAACUUCCUCGUCAAAGCACCGUUGACCCCUUUCUGGCAAGGUUUCAGUCAGACUAAUCCAGCAGCUUUCUACUUGGAGGAAAGUCCACUCUGGAAUCGGCUUGACUGAUAGAUGAAACGGACAAGCUUUCAGCGCGCGGAAACCUCCGGAACUCUCCCCGCAAGGUUGCCACGCCGACAGAACGUGAAAAAUACACCCGUCAGCCUAGAUAAACCCAUUGCCCUGUGUGAAUGGAACCCAGAUUUACUGAACACAAGUGGAAACACAAGGAGCCAGCUUUAAAAAAAGAAAAAAAAAGUGGUGAUCUCUAAGUGGACAUGUUGCUAGGUUCUGAGGUGUCAGAGUUCCCCAAGGCCUGUGGAGAACUCCAGCCUCAGGGAACACGCGAGGGGGUGGGCAUGCUGCCAGGUAGAAUGGAAGCUUCCGGGUCAUCUGGGGAUCUGAGCCCAUUCACAAUUCACCCAUUUUCCUGUUCUUGGAAAGCAUAAGCACAGUGAAGUGAGGACACAGUGAGUGUAUUUGUGCGUGUUUGUGUGAAUCUGUGUGUGUGUUUGUGAGUGUGUGCGUGUGUGUGUGUCUGUUUCAGACCUGGGUGAAAUACGUGAUUGUUUUGGAUUCAAAUACUUUCAUGUGAUCUGAGGUUCUAACACACCAGACAAGUUCAGUACAGCAUAGAAAAGUAUUUGAAUCCAAAAAAUUACGCAUUUGACCAUGGUCUGGUGUGUUUGUGUGUGCGCACAUGUGUUUCUGUGUGUGCAUGUGCAAUUAAUAAUUCUUAAGGGGAAACUUCUCAUACGGCAACAUUGUUGUGUGUGUUGUGUGCUGUUUUGAAUGUUGAUAUGUCUGUUUGUAUCAUUAUUUCCAGCUCUAAGUGGACAUGUUGCUAGGUUGUGAGGUGUCAGAGUUCCCCAAGGCCUGUGGAGAACUCCAGCCUCAGGGAACACGCGAGGGGGUGGGCAUGCUGCCAGGUAGAAUGGAAGCUUCCGGGUCAUCUGGGGAUCUGAGCCCAUUCACAAUUCACCUAUUUUCCUGUUCUUGGAAAGCAUAUGCAAAGUGAAGUGGGGACAUGGACAGUGUCAGGAGAGGACGAGGAGCUUUAUUCACACUCAGCUUCACAAAGCGGUGUGCCUGAACCCACAUCUAUGGAGAGGGGAGCUCACAGAGAGUGUUUUACUCUGACUGAGGUAAACAGGCAGUGGGUGGAAUCUUAAGUAGCUGGCCAGGAAGUGAUCUCAGCUUUGGCAAAGGGAAAGUGUUUAUUCCAGGAGUUGGGUCUCAGUACUAUAUAAAUAAACAAGUACAUUGAAAUGAUGUGCAGUUCCUGAAAAUGAAAUGUGGCUAUAUUGUUAGCUAGAUAGAUAGAUAAAUAGAUAGAUAGAUAAAACACCACCAUUUCCUCUAUAAUUGUAUAUUUGUCACACUGAAUGGUUUAAUAUCUUUAGACAACAUUUAAUGUUAGACAAAGGGAACCUGAGUAAACAUAUUUUUUACAUUAGUGUUUCAUUUAAUUAAAAAGUUAUCGGACACCCAUAUCACCCCUGUGAAAAAGUAAUUGCCCCCUUAACCUUUUCAAUUGUACUGCCUUUUGCAGCAAUAAUUGCCACCAAACACUUCUUAUAAUCUGAUAUUAGUCUUUCACGUUACUGUGGAGGAAUUUUAGUCCACUGUUGCAUAACAGGUUUCAUUCAGAUAAAUUGGUAGGUUUUUGAACACAAACUAUUCGUUUCAGAUUGUGCCACAGCACCUCUAUUGGGUUUACUUAAAGACUUAGUUUAGGCCACUCCAAAGCCAUUUCUAAGGCUCUGGGACUCCACAGUGAGAGCCAUUAUCUUCAAAUGGAGAAUUCUCUCUCCAAGGGUGCAGCAACAACUCAUCCAGGAAGUCACACAAGUCCCCAGAAAAACAUCCAAAGAACUGCAGUGCAGGCAAAAAUUUGAAUCAUGAGAGAGUAGCAAAUCUAAUGAUCUGAAACCAUUCAGUGUGACACAUAUGCAAUAAUAAAGGGAAUCAGGAAGGGGGGAAAUACUUUUUCAUGGCACUGUACCUUCAAUCUGACUGAAUCUUACAUUUUGGUUGCUACUGCCCUCUCUCACCGAAGAGCAGUUUCAAACUGUUGCAUAAAACCCCCUGUUUAAUUGUAUUUCCUUUCCACAUAAAAUAAUAGAGUUUAGAGAAUACAGUAUAUAAUUUUUUAUCAUUUAUGCAUCUAUAAUUUGUAAAUGCAUAAAGUACUGAGAUACCAACACAUUGGGAAUAGAGGUUGUUCAGAAGACUUUAAAUGCAAUGACUAAAUAAACAUGUUUUUUUAUGAGUC
Molecule: RNA transcript, 3465 nt
Organism: Conger conger (European conger)
Lineage: Eukaryota; Metazoa; Chordata; Actinopteri; Anguilliformes; Congridae
Gene name: type II iodothyronine deiodinase-like
Exons: 3
Source: RefSeq, a predicted model, not a curated record